CAAAACGUAAUGAUCUAAAAAUGAAGCGAUAAAGCUUUUUUUUUUUUUGAAGAUUGAUGCCAAAGGAAAUUUAUAAACUUGAGAAGCUGAAGUUGUUUAAAAUAGUCCAAAAUGAACCAAAGCAUCAACACAAACACAAAAAAAGACCACUAGGCAGUCGUGUUGAAGAGAAAUGAACUGAAACUAAAGGCAGCGCUGUGUUGUGUAGUACCACGAGAUAGUGCUGUGAGUCUUUGCUGGACCUCGAUUUCAAAUCUGGUCCAGAGUUAGGAUUUAGGUGUUUUGGCGAGUACCCGGUCUGUGUGAUGCUUGCCAUAAUGUCUACAAAACAGGAAGUGAUUUCUGCUGGUGGGACGGAUACCAAGGAGCAGUUUAAAGUAGCUGCACAUUGACUCUCUGCUUCAUCUUGUGGUCCAAAGUGCAGCCAUGCUGCUCUUCUUCAUGUUCUUUUGAAACUUUAGCUCAUUUUGGAAGAUUUUAAACAGUUCUUGUAGCACAUUUACUUACAGGAAGUAGCUUUUAGGUGCCAUGAGAAAAGUGACAGCCAAAAUGAACAGCACCAGCGUUUCCAUUCUAAAUCGACCUAACCAACAUCCCGCCUCGCCCUCUCAAGACCAUCAACCCAUUUAAGAGAUCUCUUUUCUUUCCUCCAUCCAAACUCGGACACGAUGUGAAGGACUUCAGGUUUUAGAUGCCAGCUUUCUGAAUCUGUUGCUUUUAUUCUAGGCUUUAUUAUCGUUAUUAUUAAUAUUAUUUUGUUAAUGAUUUUUGGCCCCAAAUCCCCGUACAGAUCAACAUUUCAGAUGAACACGAGCACUGCACUUUCAUUGGCCGAAAACCCCGCAGAACUGCAGACAUUUUAUUUCAGAAGACGAAGAAGAAUGUUAACAUUUAUUUUUCCCUAAAAUUUUUUGUCGGGGUUUCACGACUUGAACUUUCUGUUUUGUUCAAUUUUAAAACUGCCAAAUUUCCCUCCUUCCUUCCUUCACUCAGUCAAACGUUACAGCUGCGAACCUAAAAGAAGACUUCGAUGAAGAAGCCGACUCGGAGCAUGAUUUGAAUUCCUUUGUUUGAAAUUUUGUUUCCAAGCAGUGCUGUGAAUCGUACGAGCUGUGAUUCUGUCCUUAUUUUGUCGUGCAUAUGUGGGGUAACUUUGCUAAGUGUGAAAAUAUUUUGACAAGUGCCACGCCCCGGCCUGUGCGAUGCUUACCAUAAUGUCUAUAAAACAGGAAGUGAUUUCUGCUGGUGGAACGGACACCAGAACAGAUCUAUGAUUAUUAUGCUUCAGAUCAUUAUUAUUAUUAUUAUGGUGACUUCUUAUUAUUCUACUGUAUCAUCAUUGCGACCAUGAUUAUUCUCAUAAUCAUUUAAGAGUCUAUUGUUUCGCCAUGUAUUUUUUAUGUUGAGAUUUUUAUUUUAGUUUUCUUUUUAUUAAAGGUAAAAAGAACUAACAGACACC
Molecule: long non-coding RNA, 1459 nt
Organism: Oreochromis aureus
Lineage: Eukaryota; Metazoa; Chordata; Actinopteri; Cichliformes; Cichlidae
Source: Ensembl